RNAcentral lists this ribosomal RNA (253 nucleotides) under uncultured bacterium. RNAcentral's name for it is "partial 16S ribosomal RNA". It matches the Rfam family "Bacterial small subunit ribosomal RNA", at positions 524 to 776 of the family's 1533-position model. The record is from RNAcentral.
UACGUAGGGGGCAAGCGUUGUCCGGAUUUAUUGGGCGUAAAGAGCUCGUAGGCGGUUUGUCGCGUCUGCCGUGAAAGUCCGGGGCUCAACUCCGGAUCUGCGGUGGGUACGGGCAGACUAGAGUGCAGUAGGGGAGACUGGAAUUCCUGGUGUAGCGGUGAAAUGCGCAGAUAUCAGGAGGAACACCGAUGGCGAAGGCAGGUCUCUGGGCUGUAACUGACGCUGAGGAGCGAAAGCAUGGGGAGCGAACAGG